GACGAACGCUGGCGGCGUGCCUAAUACAUGCAAGUAGAACGCUGAAGAGAGGAGCUUGCUCUUCUUGGAUGAGUUGCGAACGGGUGAGUAACGCGUAGGUAACCUGCCUGGUAGCGGGGGAUGACUAUUGGAAACGAUAGCUAAUACCGCAUAAAAUGGAUUAUCGCAUGAUAAUCCAUUGAAAGGUGCAAAUGCAUCACUACCAGAUGGACCUGCGUUGUAUUAGCUAGUUGGUGGGGUAACGGCUCACCAAGGCGACGAUACAUAGCCGACCUGAGAGGGUGAUCGGCCACACUGGGACUGAGACACGGCCCAGACUCCUACGGGAGGCAGCAGUAGGGAAUCUUCGGCAAUGGACGGAAGUCUGACCGAGCAACGCCGCGUGAGUGAAGAAGGUUUUCGGAUCGUAAAGCUCUGUUGUAAGAGAAGAACGAGUGUGAGAGUGGAAAGUUCACACUGUGACGGUAUCUUACCAGAAAAGGACGGCUAACUACGUG
Molecule: ribosomal RNA, 497 nt
Filed under: uncultured bacterium
Lineage: Bacteria
Description: partial 16S ribosomal RNA
Rfam family: Bacterial small subunit ribosomal RNA
Source: RNAcentral